GCCCCCCUUGGCGGCGUCCUAAUCCAUGCAAGUCGAACAAUUUGUAUUAUUGGUGUUGAUCAUGAUUUACAUUUGAGUGAGUGGCGAACUGGUGAGUAACACGUGGGAAACCUGCCCAGAAGCGGGGGAUAACACCUGGAAACAGAUGCUAAUACCGCAUAACAACUUGGACCGCAUGGUCCGAGCUUUGAAAGAUGGCUUCGGCUAUCACUUUUGGUAUGGUCCCGCGGCGUAUUAGCUAGAUGGUGGGGUAACGGCUCACCAUGGCAAUGAUACGUAGCCGACCUGAGAGGGUAAUCGGCCACAUUGGGACUGAGACACGGUCCCAUAAUCUCUACGGGAGGCAGCAGUAGGGAAUCUUCCACAAUGGAUUGAAAGUCUGAUGGAGCAACGCCGCGUGAGUGAAGAAGGGUUUCGGCUCGUAAAU
Molecule: ribosomal RNA, 427 nt
Filed under: Lactiplantibacillus plantarum
Lineage: Bacteria; Bacillati; Bacillota; Bacilli; Lactobacillales; Lactobacillaceae
Description: bacterial SSU rRNA
Rfam family: Bacterial small subunit ribosomal RNA
Source: RNAcentral